GGUUGUGGCCCAGUGGUAGAACGCUCACCUGGCACGUGUGAGGCUCUGGGUACGAUCCUCAGUGCCA
Molecule: transfer RNA, 67 nt
Filed under: Marmota monax (woodchuck)
Lineage: Eukaryota; Metazoa; Chordata; Mammalia; Rodentia; Sciuridae
Description: tRNA.Ala
Source: RNAcentral